RNAcentral lists this long non-coding RNA (1070 nucleotides) under Panax ginseng (ginseng). RNAcentral's name for it is "long non-coding RNA (PGIN_LNC015237)". Lineage: Eukaryota; Viridiplantae; Streptophyta; Magnoliopsida; Apiales; Araliaceae. The record is from RNAcentral.
CGCCUUAUAUCAGUUCCUCUGUUUCCAAAUCAACAGCCAAAUAAAUUUACAAGAAAAGGCAAAAGAAUGGCAUUCUUGAAAUUCUUUAUAACAUCCUUUUGUAGUUGUUUUCUGUUUUCACCCUCGUCUCGGGUCACUGGCAACUCCGAUGGCUGCAAUUUAAAAGCGAUUCCGAUGGAAAACCCCAAAAGCAAAUCAAACUCAUAUGGAGCUCCUCUUAUAGUUUCACACUUUCCAAUUAGAUCAUAUCUGUCUCCCUUGUAGCAUCGGCUGUGUUACAUGUACCCUUCGAAAAUUCAAAAGUAUUAGUGUCAAUAAGACAUGACACGGGUACACGUACAUGUACAAGUACGGGUGCGGAUGCAGGUGUGAUUGGGUCACAACAGUUUAGUGGAAAUGAAUCAAAAUAUUCUAAAAAUAGGCGUGUACAUAUAAGUGGUUAACAUGAAGUUAAUUUUGGUCAAUUGACCAAUACAGCGUUGACACGCAAGCGGGAGGUGAUCUUUUCCUCUGCAUGUCAGCAUUGUAUUGGUCAAUUAAUCAACUUAUUAUAAAAUUAGUUUCAUAGUAACCAGAUCCAUUGUACAUGCUUAUUGUGGGAUCCGUGUCCAAAACCAAAGCUAUGGGUGCAUAAUUUCCCAAUGAAGGCCAAGUUGGUGACAAAAAAAAUAAUAAGGUCAAAUUUAGGACAAGGGCAUUUAAGUUUCAGUAGGGAGGGUGUACUUCUUUAUUUAUGAUAUGUUGAUGCUUUAUUGCUUUGUGUAUUUGGCUUAUUUUGUAUGAUUACAAGAGCAUCAUAGACCUGUCUCUGAUGUGGUUGCUAUAGCGUCUUCGCGGUUCUUUUAUAUUACUAACAAUUUAGAAAGAAAAGAGAAGGUAUACUCAUCACACUUCAUGGGAUUUACAAGAGAAUAUAUUUGUAGGAGUGGGUGUGAUAUUGUAGAAGGUAGAUAAUGUUAUCCGUAAUAUAUAGUAUUAUUUAAUAUAUAUAUAUAUAUAUAAAAAUAUAAUAAAACAGAAUAUAAUUUUAUAUAUAUAUAACACAUAAAAUAUUAAUGAAUAAAUCCGAG